Molecule: long non-coding RNA, 292 nt
Filed under: Schizosaccharomyces pombe (fission yeast)
Lineage: Eukaryota; Fungi; Ascomycota; Schizosaccharomycetes; Schizosaccharomycetales; Schizosaccharomycetaceae
Description: centromeric lncRNA
Source: RNAcentral
GUUGUUGCAAAAACUAAACGCCCAUUCAUCAAGCGAGUCGAGAUGAGAGGAAUCAUUGUAUAAAAGGCUAGCAUGUAAAAGCUGGAAGAAGGAAAGAACACGGGAUAUGUAAUGGAACAUGGGAAAUUGAUAUGGACAUUGAUAUGGACCUUGAUAUGGACAUUGAUAUGAACAUGAAUAUGGUAUAGAGAACUACAUCGACACAGAAAAGAAAACAAAAGUUGCUAAAAUGACAAAGGUGCCGAAUCAACAGGCCAUAGUACCGAUGGAAUCCAAAUACAAUCCAAGAAUC